Zea mays is the source of this 729-nucleotide RNA transcript. It is a transcript of the gene named 5' nucleotidase superfamily pseudogene, with no coding region annotated. The transcript has 3 exons. The record is from RefSeq and is marked validated. NCBI's taxonomy places the organism in Eukaryota, Viridiplantae, Streptophyta, Magnoliopsida, Poales, Poaceae.
GAGAUAUGUAUGUACUUGUACUUCAAGGUGUAUUUUGACUAUACACAUGAAAGUCACCCUUUCUAUAACGAGUGUGAGGUGUUCUCUUAAUCUUCUACAUUUAUGGUGUUGUAUGAUCAAUUUAGUGUAAUAGAACCAUUGUGCUGAUAUGCUGGCUUUUCCUUCAACAAACUCUCAGGCUGGAAAAAGUUGCUUCUCAUUACUAAUUCAUAUUUCCAUUAUACAAACAAAAUGAUGAAUCAUGCAUUCAAUCGCUUUCUUCCUAAUGAUGUGGGAUGGAGAAAUCUGUUUGAAAUGGUUAUAGUCUCUGCAAGGAAGCCAGAAUUUUUCCAGCUUUCACAUCCAUUGUAUGAGGUUGUAACAGAUGAUGGACUGAUGUGUCCCUGUUUUAAAGUAAAUUCAGGUCAGAUUCUUCAUGGUUCACGCUAUUACUGUUGUGAACCAGUAACUCAUAGAACCUCUAAUAAUUCUUUUUCUGUCACUGUGAAUGAACAUGUUUCGUUCCAAACAUUUUAUGCGCCCAAGUCAUUCCUGUUAUGGUAUUAUCUGGUUCAUUAUCUGACACUCAUCAAUCCUUAGGCUGUUGAACUCAUGCUUGUCGAUGCACUCAUUGAGGCUAAUGACUACUUGGGGAUAUCAUUGCAUGCACACGACCCAGAAGAUUUUUGGAAGUUGGAUGACACAAUCAUCAAAACCAUUGAGACUGCUCCCAACAAUGAACUGAAAAAA